AGUUGCUCUCGGGUGNGAGCGGCGGAUGGGUGAGUAUGUCUGGGAAACUGCCUGAUGGAGGGGGAUAACUACUGGAAACGGUAGCUAAUACCGCAUAAUGUCGCAAGACCAAAGUGGGGGACCUUCGGGCCUCAUGCCAUCAGAUGUGCCCAGAUGGGAUUAGCUAGUANGUGGGGUAACGGCUCACCUAGGCGACGAUCCCUANCUGGUCUGAGAGGAUGACCAGCCACACUGGAACUGAGACACGGUCCAGACUCCUACGGGAGGCAGCAGUGGGGAAUAUUGCACAAUGGGCGCAAGCCUGAUGCAGCCAUGCCGCGUGUGUGAAGAAGGCCUUCGGGUUGUAAAGCACUUUCACCGGGGAGGAANGCGUUAAGGUUAAUAACCUUGNCGAUUGACGUUACCCGCAGAAGAAGCACCGGCUAACUCCGUGCCAGCAGCCGCGGUAAUACGGAGGGUGCAAGCGUUAAUCGGAUUUUUUUGG
RNAcentral lists this ribosomal RNA (484 nucleotides) under Klebsiella pneumoniae. RNAcentral describes it as "bacterial SSU rRNA". It matches the Rfam family "Bacterial small subunit ribosomal RNA", at positions 77 to 558 of the family's 1533-position model. The record is from RNAcentral. Lineage: Bacteria; Pseudomonadati; Pseudomonadota; Gammaproteobacteria; Enterobacterales; Enterobacteriaceae.